RNAcentral lists this ribosomal RNA (447 nucleotides) under uncultured soil bacterium. Its description in RNAcentral is "bacterial SSU rRNA". It matches the Rfam family "Bacterial small subunit ribosomal RNA", at positions 26 to 461 of the family's 1533-position model. The record is from RNAcentral.
AGAGUGAACGCUGGCGGCAGGCCUAAUACAUGCAAGUCGAACGGCAGCACGGCAGAGCUUGCUCUGUGGGUGGCGAGUGGCGGACGGGUGAGGAAUACAUGGGAAUCUGCCCAGUCGUGGGGGAUAACGUAGGGAAACUUACGCUAAUACCGCUUGCGCCCUUCGGGGGAAAGCCGGGGACCUUCGGGCCUGGCGCGAUUGGAUGAGCCCAUGUCGGAUUAGCUAGUUGGCGGGUAACGGCCCACUAAGGCGACGAUCCGUAGCUGGUCUGAGAGGAUGAUCAGCCACACUGGAACUGAGACACGGUCCAGACUCCACGGGAGCAGCAGUAGGAAUAGUUGGACAAGUGGGACGCAAGGCCUGAUCCAAGCCCAUGCCGCGGUGAAGGUGAAGUAACGGCCUUACGGGUUAGAAACGUCUACGUUUUGUACCGGAAAGAAAGUCGUU